Molecule: ribosomal RNA, 253 nt
Filed under: uncultured bacterium
Lineage: Bacteria
Description: partial 16S ribosomal RNA
Rfam family: Bacterial small subunit ribosomal RNA
Source: RNAcentral
UACGUAGGCAGCAAGCGUUGUUCGGAGUUACUGGGCGUAAAGGGUGUGUAGGCGGCUUUUUACGUUUGGUGUGAAAUCUCCCGGCUCAACUGGGAGGGUGCGCCGAAUACUGAGGGACUAGAGUACGGGAGAGGAAAGUGGAAUUCCUGGUGUAGCGGUGAAAUGCGUAGAUAUCAGGAGGAACACCGGUGGUGUAGACGGCUUUCUGGACCGUAACUGACGCUGAGACACGAAAGCGUGGGUAGCAAACAGG